AGAGUUUGAUCCUGGCUCAGAAUCAACGCUGGCGGCGUGCCUCAGACAUGCAAGUCGAACGAUUAAAGCUCUCUUCGGAGAGUGCAUAGAGUGGCGCACGGGUGAGUAACACGUAAGUAAUCUACCUUCGAGUGGGGAAUAACGUCCGGAAACGGACGCUAAUACCGCAUAAUGCAGCGGCAUCGUAAGAUGACAGUUGUUAAAGAUUUAUCGCUUGAAGAGGAGCUUGCGGCAGAUUAGCUAGUUGGUAAGGUAAUGGCUUACCAAGGCUACGAUCUGUAACCGGUCUUAGAGGACGGUCGGUCACACUGACACUGAAUAACGGGUCAGACUCCUACGGGAGGCAGCAGUCGGGAAUUUUGGGCAAUGGGCGAAAGCCUGACCCAGCAACGCCGCGUGAAGGAUGAAGUAUUUCGGUAUGUAAACUUCGAAAGAAUAGGAAGAAUAAAUGACGGUACUAUUUAUAAGGUCCGGCUAACUACGUG
This 485-nucleotide ribosomal RNA is filed under the name uncultured bacterium. Its description in RNAcentral is "bacterial SSU rRNA". It matches the Rfam family "Bacterial small subunit ribosomal RNA", at positions 8 to 507 of the family's 1533-position model. The record is from RNAcentral.